ACUCCUACGGAGGCGAGCAGUGGGGAAUAUUGGCAACAAUUGGGCGCAAGGCCUGAUGCAGCCAUGCCGCGUGUGUGAAGAAGGCCUUCGGGUUGUAAAGCACUUUCAGUCGUGAGGAAGGUAGUGUAGUUAAUAGCUGCAUUAUUUGACGUUAGCGACAGAAGAAGCACCGGCUAACUCCGUGCCAGCAGCCGCGGUAAUACGGAGGGUGCGAGCGUUAAUCGGAAUUACUGGGCGUAAAGCGCAUGCAGGUGGUUUGUUAAGUCAGAUGUGAAAGCCCGGGGCUCAACCUCGGAAUUGCAUUUGAAACUGGCAGACUAGAGUACUGUAGAGGGGGGUAGAAUUUCAGGUGUAGCGGUGAAAUGCGUAGAGAUCUGAAGGAAUACCGGUGGCGAAGGCGGCCCCCUGGACAGAUACUGACACUCAGAUGCGAAAGCGUGGGAGCAAACAGGAUUAGAUA
This 460-nucleotide ribosomal RNA is filed under the name uncultured bacterium. RNAcentral's name for it is "bacterial SSU rRNA". It matches the Rfam family "Bacterial small subunit ribosomal RNA", at positions 335 to 784 of the family's 1533-position model. The record is from RNAcentral.